GCAAGUCGAGCGGUAACAGAUCGCUGUGAUCCCUUCGGGGUGAACUUGAUGCUGACGAGCGGCGGACGGGUGAGUAACGCGUAGGAAUCUACCCAGUAGCGGGGGAUAGCUCGGGGAAACCCGGAUUAAUACCGCAUACGCCCCACGGGGGAAAGGCCGGGAUCUUCGGACCGGUCACUAUUGGAGGAGCCUGCGUAGGAUUAGCUAGUUGGUGAGGUAAAGGCUCACCAAGGCGACGAUCCUUAGCUGGUCUGAGAGGACGAUC
This 265-nucleotide ribosomal RNA is filed under the name uncultured bacterium. Its description in RNAcentral is "partial 16S ribosomal RNA". It matches the Rfam family "Bacterial small subunit ribosomal RNA", at positions 57 to 305 of the family's 1533-position model. The record is from RNAcentral.